UCCAUAAAAUGAAAAAAUUAAAGUAACGCAUACGUCAUCCGUGAAAUUGCAAUGAAAAAUAAUCUUGUCCUUGACGUAAUAAAAAAAUAUUUCCCAUGACAGAAAUAAAAUUUUAUAAAAUUGAAAUUUACAGUGUGAUAAAAAUUUGAUUUCUUUAUAGUAUAGAAUUCAUCAUAAAUAUUUGUUGCAUUACUUUCGAUCGAUAUUGCAUUUAGAUUAUUAAAAUUUCGCAUGAAUGAACUCUAGAAGCCGUCACGGACGAUCAAAGUCACUAAUGUUCACGGUCACCUUGAUUGUUAUGUGCAAUACAAGUAACGUAACUCAAAUUGUUAUACACUACUUAUAUAUAUAUUAGUAAAUGAUACAGAGGAUUUUAUGUAUGCAGUAAUAAUGAUACUAUAAAAAGACACGUUGUCACCGUUAACUGACGACAAUCGGGAAGGGCGUCACGGCAAACGAUAUACAAACAUUGCAUUACGAUAUCAAGACAACCCGAUUCACUAGAUAUAUAUCGUAUAUAUGUGAUAAUUAUUAUGUGUUUAACAAAAUUAUGAUGCGUCAUUGAUAUAAAUAAAUAGUGAUUUUUUUUUUUAUAUGUACCUAAAGAUCAGAACGUUUUCCGCGCAACGAAAAUGAAAAAAAUUUGUGUAAUUUGAUUGCUUAAGGGAUAGUUCUGGAGAUUGGAUGUGGACAUGUGGCCUAAGAUUUUCGGCUGACAUACCAGCAUUCAUACGCGAAACAUUUCAGAAAUCUUGUCAUCCAGUAGAGUUUUUGCCUGCUAUUUUUUUUUUUUUCCGUUGCGCGAAGAACGUUCUGAUCUUCAGGUACAUAAAAAUGUUCCGAUCUUCAGAUACAUUUUUCAAAUCUAUUAUUCAGCUAUUAAAUAAUUUAUGAAUGAAUAUAAAAACAAUCUAUUAUCUAAUCUGACUGUAAUCAUAUUAAAAAAACAAAAUAAAAAGUGUAAUAAAUGAAAGUACAAGUGAAACAUUAAGAUUACUAUCAUAAAAUUUUUCACGGUCAACAUUUAAAAGGUGAUAUUAUCAAGAUUCAAAAGUGUUACGAAUUGUUUCUCAGAUCUUUUCCGAUAAGUGGAUAUGUGGAUGCUAAGAUAGUGCAUUUGAGUGUAUCCGCUUUUAUGUUUACCACAAAAAGAGAGAGUAGGAUAAUGAAGAUGGAAUAAAGUAGUACUUUAUUAAUUUCAAAAAUAAACUAUUCAUCUAAAAGUUGCAGGCCUCCCCAACCAGAACUACCCCUCAAGUCACCUUUCAGCUGUCAAGUUACAUAAUUUUUUUUCAGGAAACCAUGAAUAUUAAAAAAAAUAAAAAAAUUAAGUAAUUGAUUAUAAAAAUGAAUAAUCAGUUGCUAUCCGGAAACAUGCACCCAAGAUCGUAAUCGUAAAUCCUCGCUUACGGUUGUCUUCAUCAUCGCUAACCACAUAACAGAAGAAAUAUAAGAGGAAUGAUCGUUUGACCGAGUGCUGCGGCGCGACGCAUCGUUGCUAACUUCAUUCUUAAUUGCUGGGUUAAUGACCGCAACACAAUCUCAAAGUAGCCAAAUGCAUUAUAUAUGCUAGUCUCAAGUGAAAGUGGACCACUAAACACGGAAGAGUUAAGUUGAGUGAAAAAGAGUAGAGAUGGACAUUAAAUGGGAUUAGAAAAAGUAUACAAACUUUUUCCGAUAGCAAUACGACAGAUCCUAGAGCUCUAUCUCGAUACGCAUCUAAUCAUUUUAAAUUCAUUAACCGUUAAUUUUAAUUUAACAAAUCACUAAACUUAUUUUUUUUAUUAAUUUUGACGAUAAUUAUUUAAAAAAUUUUUAUCGACCCAAUUUAUAAGUGUAUAUACAUGCAUAUAUGGAUGUAUGUAUAGACAAGUAUACAUACAUUUUUUAGUAUUAUGAAAUUAACGUAAAAAAAAGGUGUAAAACUAACGGAAUUAAACUAAUCUUGAUAUGCGAUGAUUAAUUUCCGGUCAAUGACUUGAGAUGUAAUAAUAUUUUUAUGCAUAAAAUUGAAACUAGUGCGGUCUAUGCUAAUGGAAUGAAAAAAAGGCAAUAUCUGUAUCGAUAAGUAUACCGUAUACUUAACAUUAAAUAUUAUUCGCGCUACAUGGACGAUUUGAUUUUUUAUUUUCAUACUUACAACUUCCGUUUACUUUUAUUUUAAUUAACAGUUAUCGGAACGGAUAUAAAUAAUAAUUUUAGUAUUUCAUUUGUGGUUAGUAUGACAAGAUUUUUUUUUGCGUAAAAAGGAAUUUAGAAAUUUACGGAAGUAAAUGUAUACGUUUAAUAUUUUGAUCAUUAUUUUGUGAAUUUUAUCCAGCAAUUAAAGACGUAUAUUUGUGUUCUGUAAUUUUGUUUUCUAAUCUUUAGCUUUUAUGAGAUUCUUUGACUUUUGAAUAUUAUUUGUUUACAAUCAUUCAGUUGUAGAUGCGCAAACGCUAAUAAAAUAUUUUUAUUUAUUGGUACAGAAAACAAUCAACCAGCGAAAGAAUUUUUAGGAUGAGCCAUCUAUUGACGACAGUUACACAGAAAAAAAGGAUUUCUUGACACAAAAAAUUUUUUUCCAGCCCGAGAAAUUUUUUGCAUUAUGAAUUGAAAACAGAAAUUUUCUUACGGCGAGAAUGAAUUUUCUCCGAGCAAGAAAAAACUUUUUGAGUAAAUAAAUUUUUUCUCGUCCCAAGAAAAUUUUUGUGUUUAAUUUAUAAUACAAAAAAAUUCUUGCGCCCAGAAAUUCGUUUUUUUUCGUGUAAUAAUUGAAACGAUUGACAUUAAUUUCAAAAUAUGUUUUAGAAAACAGUUGUAACUAAUUAUGAAUAAAUAUAGAAAUAAAAAAUUAAUAUUAAACAAUAAAGACAGUGUGUCCACUUUGGGAGCUGAAACGAUGAGCUUGUAAAUCUCUAUUUAUACACCUGAAAACACGUGACAUGAAAUUGCUGGUUGCAAGUUAGGUCAUUGCUUCUCAAAUAAAUCUUCCGGUUUAUAAACUAAUCUACAAAAAUGUCAUUCAUUUUUUUUAGUGUUUUUUUUAAAAACUGAUUGUAAAGUUUGGAAAAUGACUAAAAAUUCAAUAAAUAUUUUGACAUUCCCGUCGAAAUUAACUUUCGUUCUGUAAAAAAAAAAGAGCCAAGAAAUUUUCAAAUAAAAAAAAUCGGUCUGUCAGUUGACCCUGCGGGCCAGCCCCAAAACUUCCCGCUGUUUUCGAGCUCGCUGAGCUCGAAAACAUUAUUGUGAAUAUAUUUUCGAGCUCUUCGAGCUCGCAAAUACUUUUGUAUGCCAUUGUUUUGUAAAAAACCAUUUUUUAGCAUUUCUUUCUCCCACGAUAUCUCGCGAACGAAUUAACGGAUUUUGAUGGUUGAGGCGGCAAUCGACGCGUUUUGUCAAGUUCUAAAGCUGAUAAAAUUUUGGAUUCGAUUUAUCGAGUCGUUUUUGAGAUAUUUCAGGAAAAAUAAAAAAAUUUUUUUUUUUUAAUUCUUUCGACAACGGUUUCUCUUGAACGAAUGAACCGAUUUUGACGGUUGAGGUGGCAUUCGACGCGGCUUAUAAAGCUCUAGAGCCCAGUCCAUUUUGGAAUUAAUCCAUCGAGCACAUUAAAAGUUAUCCAAAAAAAACAUUUUUGAAAAAACUUUAUUUUUGGAAUAUCUCUGAACGAGCCCUACCGAUCAAGCUCAAUUUUCUCUCGGCUUCAAGAUAUUAACAAUACGCGUCGAAUGGCACCUUAAAGUUCAAAAUCGGUUCAUCCGUUCAAAAGAUACAGGUAUUUACAUACGUACGUACAUACAUACAUACAUACACUCGGACAUCAUCUUGAAAUUAGUCAGAAUAGCUUCCUAGGACCUCAAAACGUCGACAUCUGAUGGAAAUUCGAUUUUCGUAAAUCGGACCGAAACCAAUAACUUCCCGAAUUUUUGAAAAUUUACAAUUUUCUUAGCGGGAAGUUAAAAAAACAAAAACUGGUAAUGAAAUGACACAUUAAUGUCAAUUGAUACCAUCAAUUAAAACUUAAUUAUUGUAUUGGAACGAGAGAUACCCAACACGAAAAUAAAUUUACAAAGGCGCGGUCAUGUCAUACUGUGUAUACAAAAUGACCUAGAAAUCGUUAACUGUUUCAUUAGAAACUACUUCAAUGUAGUUAACAUACAUGUAUAAUCUUUUUCAUAAAUCAGUAUAGCAGAUUAAAGGUUAAUAUUUAAGUAUUUAGAACACUGCGCGGUAAUAAUUUAAAACAACAUAAUAAAAGACUGAAUUAUUUUAAAAAACGAUGAAUCUUAAACGCCUGUAAUUCACAAUAAAAAUAAGACAAAGAUGUAAGAUAAUUUAACACCCACAUACGCCUACUCGGCUUUUUCUUUCUCAUAACUGAGGCUUAUUUUAAUAAAAAUCUAAAAGUGAGAGUAGAGGAGAAAAUAAAUCGAUUCACACAGAGUUUAAUUCAUUGGAAAGUCAAAGCAACUAUUGUAAUAAUUUUCAUUAAUUCUCACAACUUAAUGUAAUAAUCUGUUAUAUACAUUUUUUUUGUAUUUUAUAUUUUUUCAUAUUAUUGCUAUCCGAAAACCAUCAACUUCUCACUCAUGGAAAUGGAUACAAGGUGAAAUCACUUUAGAUUUAUGAACACCUACACCACGAUAUUUAAUAAGCAACAAUAUUUUACGUGACAAUGAAUUUAUAAUAAAUUUUUUUUUAUCAUUUUAAUACUUUGCGUUAAAUCAAACUAAGGAUUUUUAAGUACUGCUUGUAAUUAAAGUGUUUUUGUUUCAAACUAAAGAUACUAAUGGUCGUUUUUCGUUCCAUGUUUUGUAAAUAGUUAUAAGCGCGACUAAUUAAACUUUAUAUAAAUACAUAUAAUGGUACUCGGAGACGGGAAACAUUGCAGGACAUGAAAUAUAAUUAUUAUUGAUGCCUAAGUACCCGCAAGCAACAUAACAACUACAAGCGUCCAAAUGACUCAAGCAGACAGAGCAGCUUGAAAUUGAAAUGUAUAACAAUAUUUAAAGUAGUGUCAUGCCUAGAGCGAUGAAAUACAUUUAUGUAUAAAUGUCAUCAGCUUUAUAAAGAAGCUCAGAAAUGUCAAAGUAUAAAUAAAUGUUAUUUUGAAAAUAUCUACACAUUCAAAUUAUAAGACGAGUGAAUAUAGUUAACUGUAAAUGUAUGAAUAUAUAGAUAUAUGAACACGGAGAAAUUAUUCUCGUUUAAAAUGCGAUGGUGUCAUAGUAAAACUGAACCAUGUUGGCCAGCUGACGGAAAUUGAAGUAAACGCAUGCGAAAAUUACUAUGGCCAGAGUAAAAUUUACAACGAUUAAAUCAUAAAUUACUGUAACCACUGUAAAUAAAUAUAUAAAAAUAUAUUUCUUAAAAUCGAUCAGAACACUAUUUUUUUAGGAGCUUGGCAUUAAAAUAGAAAUAACUAGAAAACAAUGCAGAAUUAAAAAAAAAUUUAUCAGAGAUAAUUUGUAGGAAACAAAAUUGUCUACAAAAAAGGUUCUAUGACAUUUUAUGAUAAGUCCGAUAGUUUCGCCGAAAAAGUAAAAAGAUCUCGAAAUUUACUUUAACUUGACUUCGAGGUCCAAUAACUUUUGAACAGAUGGAUUUAUCGAAAAAUUAUAAGAGACUUUUUUUGUAGAGCGUUAAAUUUCCUACAGAAAUGUAUGCUGGGCUUAUUCGUACAAUCAGCCAUUGCCGAGGUAAAAAAUUCAAAACUAAAAAAAUUUUUUUUCCCAUGUUAUUUAAAUGGGAAAUCGAAUUUUUCGAUGCGCUAAGGCCCUAAUUGACUUAAAAUUAUUUUUCAAGCGGGAAUAUUUUUUUUGUACUAUAAAUUGUUAGUUUUUCAGGUAUGACAGAAAAAAAAACAUCGCCUAAAUAUGAAACACCCUAAUAUAUAUGUAUUAAGGAGGGUCUAUAGUAAUUUUUGUCGAAGCUUUUCUCUCAAACAAAAUCUCUAAGCCCCAAAUUAAGAACGAGGCUCAUUGCAUUACUCUAUAAUCUAGUAAUUAACGUUUUCAUUUUCCAAAAAUGUUCAUUCGUUUAAGAGAAAAACGUGAACAGUUUCCAUUUACUGCGCAAGUGCAACAAAGAUAGUACCGUUUGUCUACUUGAAUGUGAUAGUAAAAAAGUGCAGACCUCGCCUAAUAUACUUAUAUUUUUAUUAAAUAAAAAUAAAUGUUGUUAUUAAAAGAAAGGAGAUACUUCCGUAAUGAAAAGUAUCGAUUAUUACUAUUAAUAUUAUAAAUUAUUGCUGCGAUAAUCGAUAGUGAAAUCGAAUUCGUUCUCAUACAGACUUAUGUAGGUGGACAUCAUUCCUAACCCACACGAUUUCGAAAAUCUCAUAUACAUUUUUUUCGUUUAUGAAAAUAAAUAUACGCAGCUAUUAAUUAAUUGUGUAAUAAGCCAAUAAAUUUAUGAAAUUAUUUCAGUUGAAAAUAAAAAAUAAAAUGUAUUUUUAGUGAAAAUUUAGAAAAGUAAAAGUGUAAAUUUUUUUGAAUUGAAUAAUUUUAUCUGCAGGAAGUUAUAUACGACUUGUCUAAAUGAAACAGAGCGAAUGGAUCUUUUCUGGUGUUGUAAUAUAACCACCUACGCAUAAUUUUAGUUGUUUUAAAAAUUAGUCUGCACUGUUUUCAAUGAAAUUAAUAAAUAAUUCAAUAAAUGAAUAUUUUUAUGAAUUGAAUCAUAUAAUCUUGACCUAAUCCCGAAAAGGAAAUUUUCUUACUACAAUUUUAUUUCGACAAAUCAUACUGUAAUAAUGCUUCU
Molecule: long non-coding RNA, 6741 nt
Organism: Microplitis mediator
Lineage: Eukaryota; Metazoa; Arthropoda; Insecta; Hymenoptera; Braconidae
Exons: 3
Source: RefSeq, a predicted model, not a curated record